GACGAACGCUGGCGGCGUGCCUAAUACAUGCAAGUUGAGCGCUGAAGGUUGGUACUUGUACCAACUGGAUGAGCAGCGAACGGGUGAGUAACGCGUGGGGAAUCUGCCUUUGAGCGGGGGACAACAUUUGGAAACGAAUGCUAAUACCGCAUAAAAACUUUAAACACAAGUUUUAAGUUUGAAAGAUGCAAUUGCAUCACUCAAAGAUGAUCCCGCGUUGUAUUAGCUAGUUGGUGAGGUAAAGGCUCACCAAGGCGAUGAUACAUAGCCGACCUGAGAGGGUGAUCGGCCACAUUGGGACUGAGACCAGGCCCAAACUCCUACGGGAGGCAGCAGUAGGGAAUCUUCGGCAAUGGACGAAAGUCUGACCGAGCAACGCCGCGUGAGUGAAGAAGGUUUUCGGAUCGUAAAACUCUGUUGGUAGAGAAGAACGUUGGUGAGAGUGGAAAGCUCAUCAAGUGACGGUAACUACACAGAAAGGGACGGCUAACUACGUG
RNAcentral lists this ribosomal RNA (497 nucleotides) under uncultured bacterium. RNAcentral's name for it is "partial 16S ribosomal RNA". It matches the Rfam family "Bacterial small subunit ribosomal RNA", at positions 28 to 507 of the family's 1533-position model. The record is from RNAcentral.